RNAcentral lists this microRNA precursor (74 nucleotides) under Bombyx mori (domestic silkworm). RNAcentral's name for it is "mir-2807 microRNA precursor family". It matches the Rfam family "mir-2807 microRNA precursor family". The record is from Rfam by way of RNAcentral. Lineage: Eukaryota; Metazoa; Arthropoda; Insecta; Lepidoptera; Bombycidae.
AAAACUCAAAUUUGUAUGGAGUUGUACUGUUUGCCGCCAGGGAUGCUAUUCCAACUGCAUACAAAUUUUAGUUA